GGAGGCAUUUUCGUGCCUAUGCUUACUUUGAUUGUUGGAUUUGAUACCAAGUCUGCUGCUGCCAUCUCCAAAUGUAUGAUCAUGGGGGCAUCAGCAUCAUCAGUCUGGUACAAUUUAAGAGUUCCCACAAGGGAAGUGCCCAUUAUAGACUAUGAUUUGGCUCUUCUCUUUCAGCCCAUGCUCAUGCUUGGCAUCACCAUUGGUGUUGCCUUGAGUGUUGUCUUCCCAUAUUGGCUAAUCACUGUCCUCAUCAUCAUACUCUUUUUAGGCACCUCUUCCAGGUCUGUCUUUAAGGGAAUUGAAAUGUGGAAGGAAGAAACAAUCUUGAAGAAAGAAAUGGCUAAGCAACAAGAAACUGUGGUUAACUCUGGGGGAGAACUUCUUAUUGAUACAGAGUAUGAGCCAUUGGUUCCUAGAGAAGAGAAAUCAGAAUUUCAAAUUCUGUGCUUCAAUCUUAAGUGGAAAAGGCUUUUGGUGCUGCUGCUUGUUUGGGCUUCUUUCCUCCUCCUCCAGGUUUUCAAGAAUGAUGUGGCAGUUUGCA
Molecule: unclassified non-coding RNA, 541 nt
Filed under: Hevea brasiliensis (rubber tree)
Lineage: Eukaryota; Viridiplantae; Streptophyta; Magnoliopsida; Malpighiales; Euphorbiaceae
Source: RNAcentral